AUUGAACGCUGGCGGCAUGCCUUACACAUGCAAGUCGAACGGUAACGGGCCUUCGGGUGCCGAUGAGUGGCGAACGGGUGAGUAAUACAUCGGAACGUGCCCGAUCGUGGGGGAUAACGAGGCGAAAGCUUUGCUAAUACCGCAUACGAUCUACGGAUGAAAGCAGGGGACCGCAAGGCCUUGCGCGGACGGAGCGGCCGAUGGCAGAUUAGGUAGUUGGUGGGAUAAAAGCUUACCAAGCCGACGAUCUGUAGCUGGUCUGAGAGGAUGAUCAGCCACACUGGGACUGAGACACGGCCCAGACUCCUACGGGAGGCAGCAGUGGGGAAUUUUGGACAAUGGGCGCAAGCCUGAUCCAGCCAUGCCGCGUGCAGGAUGAAGGCCUUCGGGUUGUAAACUGCUUUUGUACGGAACGAAAAGCCUUCUUUUAAUACAGGAGGGUCAUGACGGUACCGUAAGAAUAAGCACCGGCUAACUACGUG
Molecule: ribosomal RNA, 482 nt
Filed under: uncultured bacterium
Lineage: Bacteria
Description: partial 16S ribosomal RNA
Rfam family: Bacterial small subunit ribosomal RNA
Source: RNAcentral